GGGGUUAUCACUAGAUUUACACGACAUGCCUACCACUUUGAAGAUGCAAAAUAUUUUUCUUUGUAAAACAAACAAGAAAUAAGACAAAAAAACAGAAAUCAUAACGAUUCAUUCCCCCCCAAAAGCGAGUCAAUACUUUGAAGAGCCACCUUUUGCAGCAGUUACAGCUGCAAGUCUCUUGGAGUAUGUCUCUAUAAGCUUGGCACAUCUAGCCACUGGGAUCUUUGCCCAUUCUUCAAGGUAAAACUGCUCCAGCUCCUUCAAGUUGGAUGGGUUCCGCAAUAUUUAAGUCAUACCACAGCUUCUCAAUUGGAUUGAUGUCUGGGCUUUGACGAGGCCAUUCCAAGACAUUUAAAUGUUUCCCCUUAAACCACUCGAGCGUUGCUUUAGCAGUAUGCUUAGGGUCAUUGUCCUGCUGGAAGGUGAACCUCCGUCCCAAUCUCAAAUCUCUGGAAGACUGAAACAGGUUUCCCUCAAGAAUUUCCCUGUAUUUAGAGCCAUCCAUCAUUCCUUCAAUUCUGACCAGUUUCCCAGUCCCUGCCGAUUAAAAACAUCCCCACAGCAUGAUGAUGCCACCACCAUGCUUCACUGUAGGGAGGAUGUUCUCGGGGUGAUGAGAGGUGUUGGGUUUACGCCAGACAUAGCGUUUUCAUUGAUGGCCAAAAAGCUAAAUUUUAGUCUCAUCUGACCAGACUACCUUCUUCCAUAUGUUUGGGGAGUCUCCCACGAGCCUUUUGGCGAACCAAACUUAUUUGCUUAUUUUUUUCUUUAGGCAAUAGCUUUUUUCUGGCCACUCUUCCGUAAAGCCCAGCUUUGUGGAGUGUACGGCUUAAAGUGGUCUUAUGGACAAAUACUCCAAUCUCCACUGUGGAGCUUUGCAUUUCAUUCAGGGUUAUCUUUGGUUUCUUUGUUGCCUCUCUGAUUAAUGCCCUCCUUGCCUAGUCUGUGAGUUUUGGUGGGCGGCCCUCUCUAGGCAGGUUUGUUGUGGAGCCAUAAUCUUUCAAUUUUUUAAUAAUGGAUUUAAUAGUGCUCUGUGGGAUGCUCAAAGUUUCAGAUAUUUUUUUAUAACCCAACCCUAAUCUGUACUUCUCCACAACUUUGUCCCUGACUUGUUUGGAGAGCUCCUUGGUCUUCAUGGUGUCGCUUGCUUUGUGGUGCCCAUUGCUUAGUGGUGUUGCAGACUCUGAGGCCUUUCAGAACAGAGAGCAGGAGAGGGCUGCCGUAGCAGAGCGCUGCCUGGUGAGGCUGGACCUCCUCCUGUAUCCAUCCCUGGUCCCUCGGCUGGCCGGCGCUCCAGCAACCUGGCCCAGCUCAAUGAAGAUGACCUAUGAACCGUGACCGAUAGGAGGAAAACUGAGAGGUCAUGGACCUCCACAGCUAGUGCAGAGAGAAGCAGGGGGACCUCAUGUAGGCCUAACGUCUGUUGAUGCUAUUGUAACUUUAGGGAACUUUUGAAGAUGGAUGGAUGACUCUCUUUAUGGAGCAAGGACUAGAUGGAGGCUGCUUUUUCAGACUGUUACAGGAUGGUUCACUGGCAUCAUGAGAAAAAUAUCCCAGGAUUCUAAUGGAAUAUACAGUAUGGGCUGAAAUGAUAAACAGUCAUUAGAUCAUUGAUCAUGUGAUGCCAGGUUGAAGACGUGUAGCAGCCAGACAGAUGAUGCGAUGGCUGACUGUAUGAAGAAAACUCUAUGGACAUCAGGUAUUAUGGGGACUGAUGACUUUGCUUGUUUUAUUGUUAGAGAAUUUCUAUACAGUAUCUAUUGUACUGUCUUUCUACAGGCCAGGGAUUUCUUCAUAUGGAAAUGCCAUGGGGGGGUUACUGGAGAAGUGUGUACAUACUGCAUGUCUGUAAAAUGCGUUUGUGCGUGUGUACAUGAUAGGCGGUUGCUCAUCUUGUGCCAACAUGCAGAUUAAAGAACUCCACCCUGAAGAGAAAAGGAGUGUAGAUCUGAAUGACUCUUUCUCUCAGCUCUCUCACACUGCUGGAUUCUUCUAUCCCUCCUUUAUAAAGACAACUAUUUGUAUUUUCAGGCCAUUGUUGAAACAUGUCAUCAUUUCUCCACUCAACAGGGCCUACAGUACACUAUGUUGCUGUAGUAGACAUUGAGGAGAGAGGGGAUGCCAGCUAGAUUAAUAGAUUUGAUCUGUACAUAUGUAGAAGUUUGGAUUCAUCUGUUAUAGAAAAUAGCUUUUCUGCUCCUACCGCAGUGUUUCAAAAAAGACGAGAAUGAGAGGACUCCCAUGUUCUCUUUUUCUGUUUGACCGAAGCUGGCUCUUGUUUGAUCUGCAUAUUCCAUAAUAUAAAGGGGUGAGGGAGCCCCCUGGAGGCACUCUGCAGGAGUGGCAUCACUCAGACUCAGUCUUUCCUCAGAUUCAGAUACAGAUGGAUUCCUAGGUAAGUUCUCAAUUACAUACUCCUCACAUCCUCUCUCCUCAAUUGGAGGAAAUGGUCAGAGGGAAGGGACCUCUGGCUUUCAAAUCCAAUUCGUUUUGAGAAGGAGAAGAAGAGAGAGGACGAAAGGAGUAUGUAAUUGAGGUCUUCCCCUUGUGUCCUUUGCUCCCAUCCUUUCGCUAAACGUCAGAGAGAAAGGGGAGGAUUAUAAGAGAUGAGGAGAGGAUGGGAGGAGAGGAAGGAAUCGAGCCAGGACUAUGAAGAGGUGGCCAGAGAAAUGACCAUACCAAUGCUUGGUGAUAGAGACCAACUGAUUUUUCAAAUGUAUAUUUUCUUGACGUCCUCUAGGUACGUCCUAGGAGACAUUCAUGGGUUGUGUUGAAAUAUGAAACAAGAUGUCACACAGUCGUCUGUCAGUUAAGUCCAGUGUUGAUGUGCCACAGCUUUCUGCUGUAUUUAUCAUCUGGCUUUUGCUAAUGCACACUACUACACACCAUACUGUUGGCUCGGGCUUACAUCUCUUCUUCUAGAUAAAGGAGGACAGUUUAGAGACCGCUAACUACUUGGGUUAUUGUGUCUGUUGACAUUAUGGAUAAAAAGUUCUGCAUCCUCUGUCCACAUCAAAAUGAGAUGUGUUUCAAAACGGACGUUUUUGAGACAUCAAAUACUUCAGUUCGUAUUGCCACUACAAUAGUAUUACCAACUGUUGUGUUUAACACAUCAAAUACAUGUAGUUGUGAUGUUGUGUAUUUCAACGCCCAACCUUUCCUCCUAUUAAUCAAAGCAAAUGACUGUAAACAGAGACGAUAAGAGAAGAGUCUGACAUCUAGCAUGUCCGCUUUUGGUUAAUUCCUCUCUAUGACCAGUAAGGCUUCCACAUCCAGAUAGUAGCCUAACAAGACCUCUGCACCAAAGAUCAAUGGCUUCGAGUUGCAAUGGCACCUCCAGCUAAAUCUAUUUCAAAUAUCAGCACGGAGGAGAGCCCUACCGUGACUGUUUCAAUUCAGAACACCAUCUCAUACAAACCCAGGGUACUCAGUGACUACUGGGUGCCGUUUGUAAAGUUAAACAGUGAAGACUGUCAUAUUUCAAUGGCAAUUUUUGAUCUAGCAUUUUGUGCAUGUGACUUAAAUAUGAAGGAAUACCAGUCCUGAAAUGAAUAUAGACUAAAGAGAGGAAAUAUGGGUUAUAAAGAUGACAUAUUUAAUGGAAUAGAAUCUGUUGUAUUAUAUUAAAUAAAGUGAACUUUUUAAUUAAGAAUGGCCUAUUUUUAUGUAUUUUCUGAAGGUACAUCCCUCUAACAUUGAGAUACUCCUGAUAUAUUUCCAUAUAUAUUCAGAUUAUUAAUACAUGGGUAUUAC
This is a long non-coding RNA of Oncorhynchus tshawytscha (Chinook salmon), 3753 nucleotides long. The record is from Ensembl. NCBI's taxonomy places the organism in Eukaryota, Metazoa, Chordata, Actinopteri, Salmoniformes, Salmonidae.